Molecule: long non-coding RNA, 1345 nt
Organism: Ceratitis capitata (Mediterranean fruit fly)
Lineage: Eukaryota; Metazoa; Arthropoda; Insecta; Diptera; Tephritidae
Exons: 3
Source: RefSeq, a predicted model, not a curated record
UGCAAAGGUAUUAAUAAUUGGCGAACUGACAAAUGCGACGACAUAGAUAUGGAGGUCGUCAAAAAAGAAACGCACCACAAAUGGCCCGCUGCGUUAUUUAAACCCCUUUCCUGAAGACACUGAAGGGUUUCGACUAGAAUACUAGAAAAACGGAAACACCCAAUGCUGUUACUAAGCAGAUGCGACUUCGUGAUACACUACGUUCGCCAUAUUCAUAUUAAAAAUUAUCACGCAGGACCCAAAGCACUCGUAUCACUGAUACGACUUCAGUGCUGGAUUGACAAUGCGCGCGACGUAGCGAGGCGCAUUGUCAGAUCUUGCUAUCAUGGCGAACGCUACAAGCCAAAACUUAUGAACCAAAUCAUGAGACAGCUACCAGUCGAGUGGCUAACUCCAAGUCGUCCAUUCGCACUCUGUGGUGUCGAUUUCUGUGGUCCAGUCAACAUCUAGCUUCACAUCAGAGGCAAGACUCCUUAUAAGGCGUACAUUGCGAUUUUUGUCUGCCUAACUGCCAAAGCGGUCUAUAUCGAGCUCGUUUCAGUCCUAACUACGUCACUAAAACGAAUGGUCGUCAGAAGAGGACUGCCUUCUGAUAUAUUUUACGAUAACACAACCAAUUUCAUUGGGUCUUGUAACAAACUCACUGAACUGCAGAGCACCUCAGUUCGGCGAUAUUUGAGGGGCAGCAGUGAGAUUCGCGAAAGGCCAUCUUAAACGCACUAUAAUGAAUGCCAGACUCACACCCGAGGAGCUGACAACAGUCCUGAUUGAAAUAGAAGCAGUGAUGAAUUCUCGACCAAUAGCACCACUAUCAUCCGACCCAAAUGACUAUGAAGCACUAGCUCCAGGACAUUUCAUUAUUGGUAGUUCGCUAAAGGCCCUGCCAGAGCGUUAAUUGUCAACUAGCAUCAGCAACUCACAAGGGUGGAAUCAAAUGACAGGCAUUAAGCAGGCAUUUUGGAAUCGAUGGUCACACGAAUACGUCAAUGAACUUCAAUCACGGACGAAAUGGUGCGUUGGGAAUCCAAAUAUUCACUAUAACUCAAUGGUCAUUAUUCAUGAAGACAACAUACCACCCCAAAAAUAGCAUCCUGAUUCCAAUAGUCGACAUUCGGACAGCGAAAAGCGUCAUUCGGCACCCAGUUCAUAAGCUAGGCCACCUUUUUAUACCAAUUACAACUAGCGUUAGGAUCAGCAACCUCUAUGGAAUAUUAGUAUGUAUGUACAUAGACUAGGAGCUUUGAGAAACCGGUUUGGUAAAGUAGCGGUUUACAUUUAAGACAUGAAUUAGUAUUUAAGGAAGUGAAUUGUGAAAAAUAAAUUAGUAUAAUAAUUGACCACCGAA